GAUGAACGCUAGCUACAGGCUUAACACAUGCAAGUCGAGGGGCAGCAUACUCUUAGCUUGCUAAGGCCGAUGGCGACCGGCGCACGGGUGAGUAACGCGUAUCCAACCUGCCUUACACUCUUGGACAGCCUUCUGAAAGGGAGAUUAAUACAAGAUGUUAUCAUGAGUAAGCAUUUUCGCAUGAUUAAAGGUUUACCGGUGUAAGAUGGGGAUGCGUUCCAUUAGAUAGUAGGCGGGGUAACGGCCCACCUAGUCUUCGAUGGAUAGGGGUUCUGAGAGGAAGGUCCCCCACAUUGGAACUGAGACACGGUCCAAACUCCUACGGGAGGCAGCAGUGAGGAAUAUUGGUCAAUGGACGAGAGUCUGAACCAGGCAAGUAGCGUGAAGGAUGAAGGUUCUAUGGAUUGUAAACUUCUUUUAUACGGGAAUAAACGAAUCCACGUGUGGAUUUUUGCAUGUACCGUAUGAAUAAGGAUCGGCUAACUCCGUGCCAGCAGCCGCGGUAAUACGGAGGAUCCGAGCGUUAUCCGGAUCUAUUGGGUUUAAAGGGAGCGUAGAUGGGUUGUUAAGUCAGUUGUGAAAGUUUGCGGCUCAACCGUAAAAUUGCAAUUGAUACUGGCAGUCUUGAGUACAGUUGAGGUAGGCGGAAUUCGUGGUGUAGCGGUGAAAUGCUUAGAUAUCACGAAGAACUCCGAUUGCGAAGGCAGCUUACUAACCUGUAACUGACAUUGAUGCUCGAAAGUGUGGGUAUCAAACAGGAUUAGAUACCCUGGUAGUCCACACGGUAAACGAUGAAUACUCGCUGUAGGCGAUAUACAGUCUGCGGCCAAGCGAAAGCAUUAAGUAUUCCACCUGGGGAGUACGCCGGCAACGGUGAAACUCAAAGGAAUUGACGGGGGCCCGCACAAGCGGAGGAACAUGUGGUUUAAUUCGAUGAUACGCGAGGAACCUUACCCGGGCUUAAAUUGCAACCGAAUAUGGCGGAAACGCUAUAGCUAGCAAUAGCGGUUGUGAAGGUGCUGCAUGGUUGUCGUCAGCUCGUGCCGUGAGGUGUCGGCUUAAGUGCCAUAACGAGCGCAACCCUUGCCGAUAGUUACUAACAGGUUAUGUUGAGGACUCUGUCGGGACUGCCAUCGUAAGAUGUGAGGAAGGUGGGGAUGACGUCAAAUCAGCACGGCCCUUACGUCCGGGGCUACACACGUGUUACAAUGGGGGGUACAGAGGGCUGCUACCACGCAAGUGGAUGCCAAUCCCAAAAACCUCUCUCAGUUCGGAUUGAAGUCUGCAACCCGACUUCAUGAAGCUGGAUUCGCUAGUAAUCGCGGAUCAGCAUGCCGCGGUGAAUACGUUCCCGGGC
Molecule: ribosomal RNA, 1357 nt
Filed under: uncultured bacterium
Lineage: Bacteria
Description: 16S ribosomal RNA
Rfam family: Bacterial small subunit ribosomal RNA
Source: RNAcentral